Molecule: ribosomal RNA, 108 nt
Filed under: uncultured bacterium
Lineage: Bacteria
Description: partial 16S ribosomal RNA
Source: RNAcentral
CGAAGAUUUUCGGAUCGUAAACUCCUUUCGAUCGGGAAGAACGGCUUCCGGGUGAAUACUCCGGAAGAGUGACGGUACCGAGAGAAGAAGCCCCGGCUAACUCCGUGC